GACGAACGCUGGCGGCGUGCUUAACACAUGCAAGUCGAACGGAAAGGCCCUGCUUUUGUGGGGUGCUCGAGUGGCGAACGGGUGAGUAACACGUGAGUAACCUGCCCUUGACUUUGGGAUAACUUCAGGAAACUGGGGCUAAUACCGGAUAGGAGCUCCUGCUGCAUGGUGGGGGUUGGAAAGUUUCGGCGGUUGGGGAUGGACUCGCGGCUUAUCAGCUUGUUGGUGGGGUAGUGGCUUACCAAGGCUUUGACGGGUAGCCGGCCUGAGAGGGUGACCGGCCACAUUGGGACUGAGAUACGGCCCAGACUCCUACGGGAGGCAGCAGUGGGGAAUAUUGCACAAUGGGCGGAAGCCUGAUGCAGCAACGCCGCGUGCGGGAUGACGGCCUUCGGGUUGUAAACCGCUUUCGCCUGUGACGAAGCGUGAGUGACGGUAAUGGGUAAAGAAGCACCGGCUAACUACGUGCCAGCAGCCGCGGUGAUACGUAGGGUGCGAGCGUUGUCCGGAUUUAUUGGGCGUAAAGGGCUCGUAGGUGGUUGAUCGCGUCGGAAGUGUAAUCUUGGGGCUUAACCCUGAGCGUGCUUUCGAUACGGGUUGACUUGAGGAAGGUAGGGGAGAAUGGAAUUCCUGGUGGAGCGGUGGAAUGCGCGGAUAUCAGGAGGAACACCAGUGGCGAAGGCGGUUCUCUGGGCCUUUCCUGACGCUGAGGAGCGAAAGCGUGGGGAGCGAACAGGCUUAGAUACCCUGGUAGUCCACGCUGUAAACGGUGGGUACUAGGUGUGGGGUCCAUUCCACGGGUUCCGUGCCGUAGCUAACGCUUUAAGUACCCCGCCUGGGGAGUACGGCCGCAAGGCUAAAACUCAAAGGAAUUGACGGGGCCCCGCACAAGCGGCGGAGCAUGCGGAUUAAUUCGAUGCAACGCGUAGAACCUUACCUGGGUUUGACAUGGAUCGGGAGCGCUCAGAGAUGGGUGUGCCUCUUUUGGGGUCGGUUCACAGGUGGUGCAUGGCUGUCGUCAGCUCGUGUCGUGAGAUGUUGGGUUAAGUCCCGCAACGAGCGCAACCCUUGUUCACUGUUGCCAGCACGUUAUGGUGGGGACUCAGUGGAGACCGCCGGGGUCAACUCGGAGGAAGGUGGGGAUGACGUCAAGUCAUCAUGCCCCUUAUGUCCAGGGCUUCACGCAUGCUACAAUGGCUGGUACAGAGAGUGGCGAGCCUGUGAGGGUGAGCGAAUCUCGGAAAGCCGGUCUCAGUUCGGAUUGGGGUCUGCAACUCGACCUCAUGAAGUCGGAGUCGCUAGUAAUCGCAGAUCAGCAACGCUGCGGUGAAUACGUUCCCGGG
Molecule: ribosomal RNA, 1343 nt
Filed under: uncultured bacterium
Lineage: Bacteria
Description: 16S ribosomal RNA
Rfam family: Bacterial small subunit ribosomal RNA
Source: RNAcentral